Molecule: ribosomal RNA, 460 nt
Filed under: uncultured bacterium
Lineage: Bacteria
Description: partial 16S ribosomal RNA
Rfam family: Bacterial small subunit ribosomal RNA
Source: RNAcentral
CCUACGGGAGGCAGCAGUGAGGAAUAUUGGUCAAUGGGCGCGAGCCUGAACCAGCCAAGUAGCGUGAAGGAUGACUGCCCUACGGGUUGUAAACUUCUUUUAUAAAGGAAUAAAGUGAGGCACGUGUGCCCUUUUGUAUGUACUUUAUGAAUAAGGAUCGGCUAACUCCGUGCCAGCAGCCGCGGUAAUACGGAGGAUCCGAGCGUUAUCCGGAUUUUUUGGGGUUAAAGGGAGGGUAGGUGGGUUGUUAAGUCAGUUGUGAAAGUUUGCGGCUCAACCGUAAAAUUGCAAUUGAUACUGGCAGUCUUGAGUACAGUAGAGGUAGGCGGAAUUCGUGGUGUAGCGGUGAAAUGCUUAGAGAUCACGAAGAACCCCGAUUGCGAAGGCAGCUUACUGAACUGUGACUGACAUUGAUGCUCGAAAGUGUGGGUAUCAAACAGGAUUAGAUACCCCAGUAGUC